AAGCACAUAGCACAAAGGUAGUGCAAUUCACUUCGGAUGAACCGAUGCCAGUUCGACUCUGGCUGUGCUUC
Non-coding RNA from Hemisphaericaspora subhashii, 71 nucleotides. The record is from the annotation of a RefSeq genome assembly. NCBI's taxonomy places the organism in Eukaryota, Fungi, Ascomycota, Pichiomycetes, Serinales, Debaryomycetaceae.